UUUAAACAGACCAACUUACAAUUAUUUAAUUUGUACAACUGUGCGGUAAUGAAUUAAGGAAUUGAGGAAUUGAGGACUCCGUGCUGGUCCUGGUAUUUAAACUCAAGACCUUCUGAUCAGAGGUUCAUCAUCUUAUUAGUUACUGAUGUAUUCAAUGUCGGUGUGUCCACAAACUUUUGGCCAUAUAGUGUAUGUCUUGGGAUCAUGGCGAGGAAAAAGGCCACCAGGGGCGCUGUAAACUGCAGAAGAUCCUUCAGUUAAGAACAUAAUAAAGCAGAAAAACAGAAACAGAUGUAAAACAGGUGAUCUUCACCUUGUUGUGUGUGGAGUCAGUGAAGACGUGGGAAUGCACGAUGGAAACGAUGGAAUGCAGUCGAACUCGCUAAAUCUUGUGUCUAUCGCUUAAUAAAUAUACAGUUUUAUUUGA
Silurus meridionalis is the source of this 427-nucleotide long non-coding RNA. RefSeq lists it as uncharacterized. The transcript is spliced from 3 exons. Lineage: Eukaryota; Metazoa; Chordata; Actinopteri; Siluriformes; Siluridae. The record is from RefSeq and is a predicted model, not a curated record.